UCCUGGAAAUAGCCUCCCUAUUAGACCGUACCCGAAACCGACACAGGUGGUCAGGUAGAGAAUACCAAGGCGCUUGAGAGAACUGCGUUGAAGGAACUCGGCAAAUUGCACGCGUAACUUCGGAAGAAGCGUGACCCUUUUGCGGGCAACCGCGGGAGGGUGGCACAGACCAGGGGGUAGCGACUGUUUAUCAAAAACACAGG
RNAcentral lists this ribosomal RNA (203 nucleotides) under Alexandrium margalefii. Its description in RNAcentral is "partial Bacterial large subunit ribosomal RNA". It matches the Rfam family "Bacterial large subunit ribosomal RNA", at positions 1617 to 1819 of the family's 2925-position model. The record is from RNAcentral. Lineage: Eukaryota; Dinophyceae; Gonyaulacales; Pyrocystaceae.